This 70-nucleotide transfer RNA is filed under the name Paramecium caudatum. Its description in RNAcentral is "transfer RNA-Trp". It matches the Rfam family "tRNA". From Rfam's summary of the family: Transfer RNA (tRNA) molecules are approximately 80 nucleotides in length. Their secondary structure includes four short double-helical elements and three loops (D, anti-codon, and T loops). Further hydrogen bonds mediate the characteristic L-shaped molecular structure. tRNAs have two regions of fundamental functional importance: the anti-codon, which is responsible for specific mRNA codon recognition, and the 3' end, to which the tRNAs corresponding amino acid is attached (by aminoacyl-tRNA synthetases). tRNAs cope with the degeneracy of the genetic code in two manners: having more than one tRNA (with a specific anti-codon) for a particular amino acid; and 'wobble' base-pairing, i.e. permitting non-standard base-pairing at the 3rd anti-codon position. Lineage: Eukaryota; Ciliophora; Oligohymenophorea; Peniculida; Parameciidae. The record is from RNAcentral.
AGGGGAGUAGUUUAAUGGUAAAACUUUAGUCUUCAAAACUGACAUUGCGGGCUCGAUUCCUGCCUCCCUU